This 309-nucleotide long non-coding RNA is filed under the name Crocodylus porosus (Australian saltwater crocodile). RNAcentral describes it as "lncRNA (ENSCPRG00005003023.1)". The record is from RNAcentral. Lineage: Eukaryota; Metazoa; Chordata; Crocodylia; Crocodylidae.
GCUUAGUGACGGAUCAGAGCUUAACUUGGAUUUCUUGUCACACACACAAUCACAAAAGGUAUUUCCUGCCGCAGGACUUUUGAGAAGGAGCUUGAAAGAGCUUAAAGUCUCCAUCUUUCCUUCUGCUGAACUUCAAAGCUGGAAACAGUCUACAAUGACCAUGAUGACAACCUGUGAUUAAAGAAGUGAGUUUGGAUUGUGGGGUUACCUACAGAGAUUCAGCUGAGUAUUUUGGUGCUUCUUCAGUUUUAUUUUCUCAUGGUAUUGAUUUUUAUUAUCCAUGGUGCCUUUCUCUUGUUCUCUUUCAGU